RNAcentral lists this transfer RNA (77 nucleotides) under Gammaproteobacteria bacterium. RNAcentral describes it as "tRNA-Arg". It matches the Rfam family "tRNA". Rfam says of the family: Transfer RNA (tRNA) molecules are approximately 80 nucleotides in length. Their secondary structure includes four short double-helical elements and three loops (D, anti-codon, and T loops). The record is from RNAcentral. Lineage: Bacteria; Pseudomonadati; Pseudomonadota; Gammaproteobacteria.
GCACCCGUAGCUCAGCAGGAUAGAGCGUUGGCCUCCGGAGCCAAAGGUCAGAGGUUCGACUCCUCUCGGGCGCACCA